CCUACCUGUACCCCAAAUUGCUCCUCAACUUGCAUCACACCCAAACCUGUCCUGGAAUGCUCCCUCUUUCCGACCCCAAGUCCGAAUUGUCCCCCCACUCCCAUCACAACCUUGGGCUGCUCCACCAGUCCCACAGAUAUCUCAGAAUGCUUCAGCACUCCCACCAAAAUCUCAGUCUGCUUCAUCACUCUCUCCCCGGACUGCUCAACCUCCCCUUCCACAACCCCAGAUUGUUCCCCCUCUCCUACCCAAACGCCAGACUGGUCUACCUCCCCCACUUCAACCCCAGACUGCUGCACCCCCUCUCCCACCACAAUCCCGGACUGCUUCAGCGGUACAUAUAAAAUGGAAAGGUUUUGGUCAAACUCAACCAAGUGGGCACAAGUGUUUGAUAUGCAAGAGGGAUCUUUCCUUCACACCUGAAGGCCCUGUUUCCAUACCAACUAUUCAACCAGUUGUUGCUGUUCUACCGUGUGGCCACACAUUUCAUGACCACUGCUUGCAGCUUAUCACCCCUGCAGACCAAGCUAAAAAUCCUCCGUGCAUUCCUUGUGCCAUCGGUGACAAUUGAUUCCUUGUGCCGUUGGUGAGAGUUGACUUGUGCCCUGGGAGAGUGUUGAUUCGAGUCUUGGUUCAUAACAUGUUGAAUCCUCCAUGCCUUGUGGCACUAGUCAUGAGAAAUUCCUCUUCUAAAUUUUGUUCGAACAGUCGGUAGCAGGGGAAAGAUUUGUGGUGACAAUUUCAGACCUGCUUUACCUUUUCAUUAAGGCUCAUAAGGUGAUUUGGUGCAUAAGUAUAUAUAGCUCAUUAAGAAUUGUAUAGGCGAGUAACCCUUUCGUUAGAAUGAUGUGUACUUUUGAAUUAUAUCAGCUCAAUUUCCGGCCCUUGAGUUCUACCUCUUA
This is a long non-coding RNA of Pyrus x bretschneideri (Chinese white pear), 902 nucleotides long. RefSeq lists it as uncharacterized. Lineage: Eukaryota; Viridiplantae; Streptophyta; Magnoliopsida; Rosales; Rosaceae. The transcript has 2 exons. The record is from RefSeq and is a predicted model, not a curated record.